CCUACGGGAGGCAGCAGUGAGGAAUAUUGGUCAAUGGACGAGAGUCUGAACCAGCCAAGUCGCGUGAAGGAUGACUGCCCUAUGGGUUGUAAACUUCUUUUAUAAAGGAAUAAAACGAGGCACGUGUGCCUGUUUGCAUGUAAUUUAUGAAUAAAGAUCGGCUAAAUCCGUGCCAGGAGCCGCGGUAAUACGGAGGAACCGAGCGUUAUCCGGAUUUAUUGGGUUUAAAGGGAGCGUAGAUGGGUUGUUAAGUCAGUUGUGAAAGUUUGCGGCUCAACCGUAAAAUUGCAAUUGAUACUGGCAGUCUUGAGUACAGUUGAGGUAGGCGGAAUUCGUGGUGUAGCGGUGAAAUGCUUAGAUAUCACGAAGAACCCCGAUUGCGAAGGCAGCUUACUAAACUGUGACUGACAUUGAUGCUCGAAAGUGUGGGUAUCAAACAGGAUUAGAUACCCGGGUAGUC
RNAcentral lists this ribosomal RNA (460 nucleotides) under uncultured bacterium. Its description in RNAcentral is "partial 16S ribosomal RNA". It matches the Rfam family "Bacterial small subunit ribosomal RNA", at positions 338 to 795 of the family's 1533-position model. The record is from RNAcentral.